Long non-coding RNA from Petromyzon marinus (sea lamprey), 406 nucleotides. RefSeq lists it as uncharacterized. The record is from RefSeq and is a predicted model, not a curated record. Lineage: Eukaryota; Metazoa; Chordata; Hyperoartia; Petromyzontiformes; Petromyzontidae.
GGUAAUUCCAGAGCAACGCAAAUGACGUGUCUAGCUGGUACGGCAAGGCCUCGACAUCCUGGUGGGCUUCUGUUCUUGGAAGUCUGCGCGGAAGGAGGAAACCGGAGCACCCGGAGAAACGCCACGCGGGCAAGGGGACACCACUCUACCCCACACAGACGACACAGGUGGAGUCCACAUCUUGCUGGACCGGCGACUCCCGAUCAAUGGAACCACGCGGCUCUUUCCUCCCAUCGUCCGGGGGGGGGAGGGUGUACCGCGUCAGCGCAAUCGAUCCAAAGCUUCCGCGCAAGCGCUCGACAUCGACGGGGAUUGGAACGGAGUUGCGCUGUUUGUCAUUUUCUUUCCACAACCGACUCGUCACAGGGAGGGGCUCGGCGCUGGCGACGCCACGGUGCUUCUGAGU